Molecule: small nucleolar RNA, 140 nt
Organism: Ctenocephalides felis (cat flea)
Lineage: Eukaryota; Metazoa; Arthropoda; Insecta; Siphonaptera; Pulicidae
Product: small nucleolar RNA SNORA57
Exons: 1
Source: RefSeq, a predicted model, not a curated record
CCCCCUUAUUUUGGCAUGUUGGCUACUUCAUAAAUUAGUAGAACAUGAAUGCUGUGAGGGGGUAGAAUAAAAGGGGAGGCUAUGCCUUCGGUGUUCACACGAUUUUUGUCUGAAUCCCAUCCUCAAUGUCUCCCACAUUG